AUUGAACGCUGGCGGCAGGCCUAACACAUGCAAGUCGAGCGGAUGAAGGGAGCUUGCUCCUGGAUUCAGCGGCGGACGGGUGAGUAAUGCCUAGGAAUCUGCCUGGUAGUGGGGGAUAACGUCCGGAAACGGGCGCUAAUACCGCAUACGUCCUGAGGGAGAAAGUGGGGGAUCUUCGGACCUCACGCUAUCAGAUGAGCCUAGGUCGGAUUAGCUAGUUGGUGGGGUAAAGGCCUACCAAGGCGACGAUCCGUAACUGGUCUGAGAGGAUGAUCAGUCACACUGGAACUGAGACACGGUCCAGACUCCUCCGGGAGGCAGCAGUAGGGAAUAUUGGACAAUGGGCGAAAGCCUGAUCCAGCCAUGCCGCGUGUGUGAAGAAGGUCUUCGGAUUGUAAAGCACUUUAAGUUGGGAGGAAGGGCAGUAAGUUAAUACCUUGCUGUUUUGACGUUACCAACAGAAUAAGCACCGGCUAACUUCGUG
Molecule: ribosomal RNA, 484 nt
Filed under: uncultured bacterium
Lineage: Bacteria
Description: partial 16S ribosomal RNA
Rfam family: Bacterial small subunit ribosomal RNA
Source: RNAcentral